AGGAUUCUUUAACGUCACCUAAUGUUUCUUUGGCUGCAAAUGGCAAUCCUUUGACUCACGCGAAUCUUGGAAAGUUGCCGGCAUUUCCCGAUGAUUGUUUGCCACCUAACUCAUCUGCAGAUGAUGAUUGAGAAGCCAUUGCGGAUCGCGAAGCAAAUGAGAUACUUUCUUCAGAAUGUUUGCCUGGAGUAUCAAAACUUUCUUUGGAGGAUAGUAAAGCCGAAGCCCCUAAGAGACGCGGAAGGGGGACAUUUUCUUAUAAAAGAAGUGAUUUGUACAGUGAUCACUCUCUGACAU
Hibiscus syriacus is the source of this 297-nucleotide long non-coding RNA. RefSeq lists it as uncharacterized. The record is from RefSeq and is a predicted model, not a curated record. The transcript is spliced from 3 exons. NCBI's taxonomy places the organism in Eukaryota, Viridiplantae, Streptophyta, Magnoliopsida, Malvales, Malvaceae.